GCUACCCAAAAUUGGAAGAAGACAGAGGCAACUAUAAUACUGGGCAGUAGUCGCUGUUGUCCUACUGCUCAGAUGCUGUGCUGGCUGUGUAUCACACAGACAAGGUCACAUGUAAAUAACCCAGCUGCAGAUUUUGUAUAUACUGUGUACACAUUUCCUAUUAAACUGUUUGAAGUAUCUGUUUCAA
This is a long non-coding RNA of Gopherus flavomarginatus (Mexican gopher tortoise), 187 nucleotides long. RefSeq lists it as uncharacterized. Lineage: Eukaryota; Metazoa; Chordata; Testudines; Testudinidae. The transcript has 2 exons. The record is from RefSeq and is a predicted model, not a curated record.